Molecule: ribosomal RNA, 1243 nt
Filed under: metagenome
Description: bacterial LSU rRNA
Rfam family: Bacterial large subunit ribosomal RNA
Source: RNAcentral
UGGUUUACGGAGAAGGAACUCGGCAAAAUGACCCCGUAACUUCGGGAUAAGGGGUGCCGGCAGUAUGUGACCCGUCAAGGGGAGCAGAGACCGGCCGCAGUGAAUCGUCCCAAGCGACUGUUUAGCAAAACACAGGUGUCUGCAAAGGCGUUUUCCAAGCCGACGUAUAGACACUGACGCCUGCCCGGUGCCGGAAGGUUAAGGUAAGUGGUCAGCCGCAAGGCGAAGCUACGAACCGAAGCCCCGGUAAACGGCGGCCGUAACAAUAACGGUCCUAAGGUAGCGAAAUUCCUUGUCGGGUAAGUUCCGACCUGCAUGAAUGGCGUAACGACUUGGGAGCUGUCUCCUCCGUAAGCUCGGCGAAAUAGCAGCAUCGGUGAGGAUUCCGAUUACCCGCGACAGGACAAAAAGACCCCAUGCACCUUUACUACAACCUGUCAUUGAUCGUCGAUAUACACUGCGUAGCAUAGGUGGGAGCCGUUGAGACCCGGUUUUCGGAUCGGGUGGAGGCAACAGUGAAAUACCACCCUUUGUUUAUUAACGAUCUCACUCGGCCGGCAACACCGGCGAGGACCGUGGCUGGUGGGUAGUUUGACUGGGGCGGUCGCCUCCCAAAAAGUACCGGAGGCGCGCGAUGGUGGGCUCAGUGCGGUCGGUAAUCGCACGUUGAGUGUAUACGCAAAAGCCCGCCUGACUGCGAGCGCGACGGCGCGAGCAGGGACGAAAGUCGGCGUAAGUGAUCCGGUGAUCCCGUAUGGAUGGGUCAUCGCUCAUCGGAUAAAAGGUACGCUGGGGAUAACAGGCUUAUCGCGCCCGAGAGUUCACAUCGACGGCGCGGUUUGGCACCUCGAUGUCGGCUUGUCACAUCCUGGGGCUGGAGAAGGUCCCAAGGGUCCGGCUGUUCGCCGGUUAAAGUGGCACAUGAGCUGGGUUCAGAACGUCGUGAGACAGUUCGGUCUGUAUCCGUCGUGGGCGUGGGAACGUUGAGGGAUCAGGACUCUAGUACGAGAGGACCGAGUCGUAGUGACCUCCCGUGUACGGGCUGUUCCGCCAGGGGCAGCGCCCGGUAGCGAUGUCACGCAGGGAUAACCGCUGAAAGCAUCUAAGUGGGAAACCCGUCCCAAGAUGAACGUUCCUGGAGCUUAAGCUCCCUUAAGGGCCCUGGGAGACUACCAGGUUGAUAGGCCGCAGGUGCACGGCGCGCGAGCGCUUCAGCCGAGCGGUACUAAUCGCCCGUGAAGUU